GUCUACAGCCAUACCACCCUGAACGCGCCCGAUCUCGUCUGAUAUCGGAAGCUAAGCAGGGUCGGGCCUGGUUAGUACUUGGAUGGGAGAAUUCCUUACUAGUCGUAGUUC
Molecule: ribosomal RNA, 111 nt
Filed under: Neogale vison (American mink)
Lineage: Eukaryota; Metazoa; Chordata; Mammalia; Carnivora; Mustelidae
Source: RNAcentral